UUCCGGUUGAUCCCGCCGGACCCGACUGCUAUCAGAGUGGGACUAAGCCAUGCGAGUCAACAUAGCAAUAUGUGGCAUACGGCUCAGUAACACGUAGUCAACAUGCCCAGGGGACGUGGAUAACCUCGGGAAACUGAGGAUAAACCACGAUAGGUCAUCACUUCUGGAAUGGGUAAUGACUUAAAUCUAUAUGGCCCCUGGAUUGGACUGCGGCCGAUCAGGCUGUUGGUGAGGUAAUGGCCCACCAAACCUGUAACCGGUACGGGCUCUGAGAGGAGGAGCCCGGAGAUGGGCACUGAGACAAGGGCCCAGGCCCUAUGGGGCGCAGCAGGCGCGAAACCUCUGCAAUAGGCGAAAGCUUGACAGGGUUACUCUGAGUGAUUUCCGUUAAGGAGAUCUUUUGGCAUCUCUAAAAAUGGUGCAGAAUAAGGGGUGGGCAAGUCUGGUGUCAGCCGCCGCGGUAAUACCAGCACCCCGAGUGGUCGGGACGUUUAUUGGGCCUAAAGCAUCCGUAGCCGGUUCUACAAGUCUUCCGUUAAAUCCACCUGCUUAACAGAUGGGCUGCGGAAGAUACUAUAGAGCUAGGAGGCGGGAGAGGCAAGCGGUACUCGAUGGGUAGGGGUAAAAUCCGUUGAACCAUUGAAGACCACCAGUGGCGAAGGCGGCUUGCCAGAACGCGCUCGACGGUGAGGGAUGAAAGCUGGGGAGCAAACCGGAUUAGAUACCCGGGUAGUCCCAGCUGUAAACGAUGCAGACUCGGUGAUGAGUUGGCUUAUUGCUAACUCAGUGCCGCAGGGAAGCCGUUAAGUUUGCCGCCUGGGGAGUACGGUCGCAAGACUGAAACUUAAAGGAAUUGGCGGGGGAGCACCACAAGGGGUGAAGCCUGCGGUUCAAUUGGAGUCAACGCCGGA
Molecule: ribosomal RNA, 911 nt
Filed under: uncultured compost archaeon
Lineage: Archaea
Description: bacterial SSU rRNA
Rfam family: Archaeal small subunit ribosomal RNA
Source: RNAcentral